Molecule: non-coding RNA, 81 nt
Organism: Pisolithus orientalis
Lineage: Eukaryota; Fungi; Basidiomycota; Agaricomycetes; Boletales; Pisolithaceae
Source: the annotation of a RefSeq genome assembly
GGCCUUGUAGUCUAGAGGUACGAUACUUGCUUUGGGUGUUCUUAAUUGCAAGUGGCCUGGGUUCGAUUCCCAGCAAGGCCC